This 497-nucleotide ribosomal RNA is filed under the name uncultured bacterium. RNAcentral describes it as "partial 16S ribosomal RNA". It matches the Rfam family "Bacterial small subunit ribosomal RNA", at positions 28 to 507 of the family's 1533-position model. The record is from RNAcentral.
GAUGAACGCUGGCGGCGUGCCUAAUACAUGCAAGUCGAGCGAACAGACGAGGAGCUUGCUCCUCUGACGUUAGCGGCGGACGGGUGAGUAACACGUGGAUAACCUACCUAUAAGACUGGGAUAACUUCGGGAAACCGGAGCUAAUACCGGAUAAUAUAUUGAACCGCAUGGUUCAAUAGUGAAAGACGGUUUUGCUGUCACUUAUAGAUGGAUCCGCGCCGCAUUAGCUAGUUGGUAAGGUAACGGCUUACCAAGGCAACGAUGCGUAGCCGACCUGAGAGGGUGAUCGGCCACACUGGAACUGAGACGCGGUCCAGACUCCUACGGGAGGCAGCAGUAGGGAAUCUUCCGCAAUGGGCGAAAGCUUGACGGAGCAACGCCGCGUGAGUGAUGAAGGUCUUCGUAUCGUAAAACUCUGUUAUUAGGGAAGAACAAAUGUGUAAGUAACUAUGCACGUCUUGACGGUACCUAAUCAGAAAGCCACGGCUAACUACGUG